RNAcentral lists this ribosomal RNA (322 nucleotides) under uncultured eukaryote. Its description in RNAcentral is "partial 18S ribosomal RNA". It matches the Rfam family "Eukaryotic small subunit ribosomal RNA", at positions 1470 to 1796 of the family's 1831-position model. The record is from RNAcentral.
CCCUUAGAUGUUCUGAGCCGCACGCGUGCUACACUGAGUGGAUCAGCGGGUCAGGUUGCGCGAAAGCGUUUCCUAAUCUUUAAAUCCGCUCGUGAUGGGGAUUGACGGUUGCAAUUUUCUGUCAUGAACGAGGAAUACCUUGUAAGCGCGGGUCAUCAUCCCGCGCUGAAUACGUCCCUGCCCUUUGUACACACCGCCCGUCGCUCCUACCGAUUGAGUGGUCCGGUGAGGCUUUGGGAUCUGAGCGGAAAGAGCGUUUCGCUGUUUCUGCUCGGAAAACUCAGUCGAACCUUAUCAUUUAGAGGAAGGAGAAGUCGUAACA